CAAAGUAUAGCUUAACAAAAGCUCUUCGCUUACACCGAAACUAUGUUUGUGCAAAUCAAACUUCUUUGA
This 69-nucleotide transfer RNA is filed under the name Allobates marchesianus (dull rocket frog). Its description in RNAcentral is "tRNA-Val". It matches the Rfam family "tRNA". From Rfam's summary of the family: Transfer RNA (tRNA) molecules are approximately 80 nucleotides in length. Their secondary structure includes four short double-helical elements and three loops (D, anti-codon, and T loops). The record is from RNAcentral. Lineage: Eukaryota; Metazoa; Chordata; Amphibia; Anura; Aromobatidae.